This 76-nucleotide transfer RNA is filed under the name Nitrospirota bacterium. RNAcentral describes it as "Nitrospirae bacterium (bioreactor metagenome) tRNA-Met". It matches the Rfam family "tRNA". From Rfam's summary of the family: Transfer RNA (tRNA) molecules are approximately 80 nucleotides in length. Their secondary structure includes four short double-helical elements and three loops (D, anti-codon, and T loops). Further hydrogen bonds mediate the characteristic L-shaped molecular structure. tRNAs have two regions of fundamental functional importance: the anti-codon, which is responsible for specific mRNA codon recognition, and the 3' end, to which the tRNAs corresponding amino acid is attached (by aminoacyl-tRNA synthetases). tRNAs cope with the degeneracy of the genetic code in two manners: having more than one tRNA (with a specific anti-codon) for a particular amino acid; and 'wobble' base-pairing, i.e. permitting non-standard base-pairing at the 3rd anti-codon position. Lineage: Bacteria; Pseudomonadati; Nitrospirota. The record is from RNAcentral. RNAcentral also lists the same sequence under 1 other name.
GGCGGUGUAGCUCAGUUGGCAGAGCAUGCGACUCAUAUUCGCAGUGUCCGGGGUUCAAAUCCCUGCACCGCCACCA